UUUCCAGAGAUGGAUUGGUGCCUUCGGGAACUCAGACACAGGUGCUGCAUUGCUGUCGUCAGCUCGUGUCGUGAGAUGUUGGGUUAAGUCCCGUAACGAGCGCAACCCUUGUCCUUAGUUACCAGCACCUCGGGUGGGCACUCUAAGGAGACUGCCGGUGACAAACCGGAGGAAGGUGUGGAUGACGUCAAGUCAUCAUGGCCCUUACGGCCAGGGCUACACACGUGCUACAAUGGUCGGUACAAAGGGUUGCCAAGCCGCGAGGUGGAGCUAAUCCCAUAAAAC
Molecule: ribosomal RNA, 285 nt
Filed under: Pseudomonas aeruginosa
Lineage: Bacteria; Pseudomonadati; Pseudomonadota; Gammaproteobacteria; Pseudomonadales; Pseudomonadaceae
Description: partial 16S ribosomal RNA
Rfam family: Bacterial small subunit ribosomal RNA
Source: RNAcentral